Molecule: ribosomal RNA, 253 nt
Filed under: uncultured bacterium
Lineage: Bacteria
Description: partial 16S ribosomal RNA
Rfam family: Bacterial small subunit ribosomal RNA
Source: RNAcentral
UACGUAGGGUGCAAGCGUUAAUCGGAAUUACUGGGCGUAAAGCGUGCGUAGGCGGUCAGUCGCGUCUGCUGUGAAAACUCGGGGCUUAACUCCGGGCCUGCAGUGGGUACGGGCUGACUAGAGUGCGGUAGGGGAGACUGGAAUUCCUGGUGUAGCGGUGAAAUGCGCAGAUAUCGGGAGGAACACCGGUGGCGAAGGCGGGUCUCUGGGCCGUAACUGACGCUGAGGAGCGAAAGCGUGGGGAGCGAACAGG